CCUACGGGUGGCAGCAGUGAGGAAUAUUGGUCAAUGGGCGCGAGCCUGACCCAGCCAAGUAGAGUGAAGGAUGAAUGUCCUACGGGUUGUAGACUUCUUCUGUAAAGGACUAAAGUGAGGCACGUGUGCCGUUUUGUGUGAACUUUAUGACUAAGGAUCGGCUAACUCCGUGCCGGCAGCCGCGGUACUACGGAGGGGCCGAGCGUUAUCCGGGUUUAGUGGGUUUAAAGGGAGCGUAGAUUGUCUGGUAAGUCAGUUGUGAAAGUCUGCGGCUCAACCGUAAAAUUGCCAUUGAUACUGGCAGCCUUGAGUUCAGUUGAGGUAGGCGGAAUUCGUGGUGUAGCGGUGAAAUGCUUAGAUAUCACGAAGAACUCCGAUUGCGAAGGCAGCUUACUAAACUGCCACUGACAUUGAUGCUCGAAAGUGUGGGUAUCAAACAGGAUUAGAUACCCCAGUAGUC
RNAcentral lists this ribosomal RNA (460 nucleotides) under uncultured bacterium. RNAcentral's name for it is "partial 16S ribosomal RNA". It matches the Rfam family "Bacterial small subunit ribosomal RNA", at positions 338 to 795 of the family's 1533-position model. The record is from RNAcentral.